This 293-nucleotide ribosomal RNA is filed under the name uncultured Planctomycetota bacterium. RNAcentral describes it as "uncultured planctomycete partial 16S ribosomal RNA". Lineage: Bacteria; Pseudomonadati; Planctomycetota. The record is from RNAcentral.
GGACUACACGGGUAUCUAAUCCCGUUUGCUCCCCUAGCUUUCGCGUCUCAGCGUCAGAAGACGUCCAGGACCUCGCUUUCGCCACGGGCGUUCCUUCCGAUCUCAACGCAUUUCACCGCUCCACCGGAAGUUCCAGGUCCCCCUACGUCCCUCCAGACAGGUCGUUUCGGCUCCACUUCCCCGGUUGAGCCGGGGGCUUUCAGUCACCGACGUUCCCAUCCGCCUACACGCGCUUUAAGCCCAGUGAUUCCGAAUAACGUUCGCACGGUUCGUCUUACCGCGGCGGCUGGCAC